Non-coding RNA from Miniopterus natalensis, 2873 nucleotides. Lineage: Eukaryota; Metazoa; Chordata; Mammalia; Chiroptera; Miniopteridae. The record is from RefSeq and is a predicted model, not a curated record.
CCCCCUUGAGACACCGGACCCUGUUAAUCAACCACUUUUUAAAGGUCCGAUAUGCACCCAGUUGAGGACUGAAAUUAGAUUCUUUUUGACCAAUGUGCGCUCCCUCCACAAUCGGGAGCAUGCCCAUCACUCCAGAAGCUUCCCAGUGUCCUCUGCCGGCGGCCACCUCCCCUCCCGGCCGCCAGCACCCACCGACGCAAUGCCUGUCCCUGUUGUGCCUUCUCCAGAAGGUCAUACAUAGGAGUCGCAUGGAACAGAGCCAUUUGUGUCUGGCUUUUUAUGUGGAGACUAAUGUGGUUGAGCUCCACCCUCUUUGUCGCAUCUAUAGUUCGUCCCCGUUAUUGCUGAGUAUCCGUGGUACAGAGACACUGCCAUUCGCUUACCCGCGCAGCAGAUGAUGGACACUGGGGUUGUGUCCAGUUCGGGGCGAUUGUGAAUAAAGCUGUUCCCAGGUCAUUGCUCAGACAGGUUCUCUUCUCUCUCAGGUGAGAACCCAAGAGAGAAAUCACCGAGUCCUGCACUUGCUUAACUUCAGAAGGAGCUGCGGAGCUAGUUUCCAACAUGCCUGGACCAUUUCACAGUCCCACCAGCUGUGUAUAAAAAUGCAGCUACAGACAGCUAUGAUUUAAAACACACACACACACACACAAAAAACGAAGUAGCAAGUGUUAGCAAGAAUGUGGAGAAACGUGAACGCUCACGGGUGGUGGGAAAGUGAAAUGGUUAGCGAAUGGCCCCAUCACCCAGCAAUUCUGCUCCUAGGAAUGUGCCCAAAAAAACUGAACACAGGUGUUCAAGCAGAAACGUUCAUGGUGGCGUUAUUCACAGAGGCCAAAGUACAGAAACAGCCCAGAUGUCCAUCAGUGGGUGCUGGAGAAACAAGAGAGGCCGAGUCAUCCAGUGGAAUAUUAUUCACUUAUGAACAGGAGUGAGGUACAGAUACGCGCCACAGCAGGGGUGGAUCUUGAGGACACAAAAAACAAAACAAGGCAGAAAAAGGCCACGUAUCGUAUGGUUCCAUUUAUACGAAACAUCCAGAACAGGCCAACCCACAGAGACAGAAAGCAGGCAAAAAGCCAGGGGUUGAGAGAAGGGGUCUGUGAAUCACGUUGUUUGCUUUCUGUACUUUACGAUGCUUUGACAUCUUGGGGUCCUGUAGACCCAGCGAGGGGUUGCCCCUCCCAGAGUUAGCUCAUUCCUGGAGAUGGCCAACAAGUUGCCUGAGUCAACGCCUUUAUGUUCAAACUAACCAGUCCUGAUUCCGCACAGCCACCCAGCUCCUACCAUCGGACUCCUGCAGGCUGGCACUCAUUUGCCUGCCCUAAGUCACCCGGGGGCCAGGUGCCAACAAGUGGGGACCAUCUUACCAGCCUCCAGGUCCCUCCCUGGACCUGGCUCAUGGCUGGGGCCUCCCAGGGCCCAGAGAAACCUGAGCCUAGAGAGCAGGACACUCAGCCAGGGUCUGCAUGAGAGCAGCAGCUGGCCCGCACAUCUGUGGAUUUAUCCCGAGUCUGUACUGUUCACGGUCAAGUGCAUCGAUGCUAAGGGCACCUCGUGUGGGGCUCUGCACAGACCCAGGGGGCGCCAGACGCCUCCACUUCUUUCCAGAUGAACCGAGAGGAGUGGCCAGUGCUGGCCACUCACUGGUCCUUUGGCUCCUCUCUUCUCUACAUCCCACCAUUUCUUAUCUUUUCCGAUCAUGGAAACAUUUCCCACCUUGUAAAUUUUCCCUUGACUUUUCCUUCUCUUAUUCCGGGGCGUGCAUUUCCCCUCCUGUUCCCCGUGGGGAAGGCAGCGUCGGGGGGCCAGCCCCCCGAGUUGGAGCAAGAGCUCCCACAACCUUUGAUCUUCCCGCCGACACAUGGCCCAUUAAUCACACUUGCAGAUGCUCAUGGUCUCGCGCUGACAUCAUGAGGCUGGUCUGAGGCACACGUGUGGCAGGGAACACACGCCACCGUGGGGCUGAUUUAGGCGAGGAGGACUCGGUGGGGGACCACUGGCGCCGCGAAUCACGGGCCGGGGAUCUUCACAUCACAGGCGAAUGCUCCCCUCCAGCUUCGGCGGGUCUCAACCCAGUGGCUCCUGCCCGUGGUAACGAGGACGCCUCCUCCUUCCCACGGGCAGGGGGUUUUCACGACUCUCUUAUUGUUAAGACUUUACUUUUCUAGAGCAGUUUAGGUUCGCAGCAAAUCUGAGAGGAGGUUGCGAGAUCCCCCAGUACCCGCUGCCUGCAUGCCCCCACUGCCUCCCCGCUAGCAGCAUCUCCCAACAAGAUGCUGCAUUUGGUAUCACUGAUGAAACGCCGACACAUCAUAGUCGCCCAGAGCCUACAGUGGACACAAGGUUCGCUCCUGGUGUACAUGCUGUGGGUCUGGACCAAUGCACGGCGACACGUGUCCAUCCGUCUAGUGUCACGCGGAGCAGGCUCACUGCCCUGAGAACCUGAGCUCCGCGGCUCAUCCCUCCCCUCGGACACCUAGAGACCACUGGUUUCCUGUCGUCUCCACAGUUCUGCGUUUUCCAGAAUGUCAUAAGUUACAAAGUUACAGUCACACUGCUGAGGAACGUCCCAUUGUCCGGAUGGCCCACUGUUUGCUUAUCCGUCACCUACUGAAGGACCUCGCGGGGACGCCCAGUGGUGGCGACUAUGAAUACAUCCGAGUGCGGGUUUUCGUGUGGACCCGUUUCCGACUCCUCCAGGUAAAGGCCCAGGAGUUUGUCGGCUGGACCGCACGGAGCCCGCCAUCCGCCGCUCGGAACGCUGCUCCGGGGGAGCCGAACGGUGGCCCCCGAGACGUCCAGGCCCCGACAUCAGCUCCUGCGAAGGGACCUUCCAGGGCAAGGGGAACCAUACAGAGGGAGGCAGGACAGCC